CUAGUGUAGAGGUGAAAUUCGUAGAUAUUAGAAAGAAUACCAAUUGCGAAGGCAGCUUUCUGGAUCAUUACUGACACUGAGGAACGAAAGCAUGGGUAGCGAAGAGGAUUAGAUACCCUCGUAGUCCAUGCCGUAAACGAUGUGUGUUAGACGUUGGAAAUUUAUUUUCAGUGUCGCAGUGAAAACGAUAAACACACCGCCUGGGGAGUACGACCGCAAGGUUAAAACUCAAAUGAAUUGACGGGGACCCGCACAAGUAGUGGAGCAUGUGGUUUAAUUCGAAGAUACGCGCAGAACCUUACCAACACUUGACAUGUUCGUCGCGACUUUAAGAGAUUAAAGUUUUCGGUUCGGCCGGACGAAACACAGGUGCUGCAUGGCUGUCGUCAGCUCGUGUCGUGAGAUGUUGGGUUAAGUCCCGCAACGAGCGCAACCCUCACUUUUAGUUGCCAUCAUUUAGUUGGGCACUCUGAAAGAACUGCCAGUGAUAAGCUGGAGGAAGGUGGGGAUGACGUCAAGUCCUCAUGGCCCUUACGUGUUGGGCUACACACGUGCUACAAUGGUAUAUACAACAGGAAGCAAGACGGCGACGUUAAGCAAAUCCUCAAAAGAUACCUCAGUUCGGAUUGCACUCUGCAACUCGAGUGCAUGAAGCUGGAAUUACUAGUAAUCGUGGAUCAGCGUGCCACGGUGAAUGCGUUCCCGGGUCUUGUACACACCGCCCGUCACACCAUGGGAGUUGGUUCUACCUUAAGGCAAGGUUUAAAACCCUUGACCACGGUAUAGUCAGCGACUGGGGUGAAGUCGUAACAAGGU
This 816-nucleotide ribosomal RNA is filed under the name marine metagenome. RNAcentral describes it as "bacterial SSU rRNA". It matches the Rfam family "Bacterial small subunit ribosomal RNA", at positions 670 to 1497 of the family's 1533-position model. The record is from RNAcentral.